CUGGAUCAUGGACAGGAGCAGGGCGGUUGAUUUCAGGCUGGAAAGGGCGCUGGUUAUGAAGGCUAGGGCCAAUAUGUUGGGGCGAGGCGGCCCUCACGUCUUUCAUGCAGAUGCGAUAGGUGGGGGUACUGUCCCCAUGGGGAGAGAGUACAGUAGUGCAGUUGCUGGUGUAAUUCUCUGUAGGAAAAGGUCAGUUUUCUUUGUGAUUUCAAUCUCUCAAAUACUCCUUUGUAUAAUUGUAUUGUUUCUUUUUCGUUAGGAAGAGUUAAGUGCUUCUAGAAUCAUGGGAUGUGGGAGUUAUUCAGCAAUCCAUAAUUUCAGAUGGAAGAACUUCAUAAGCCGCUUUUGUUUGCCAGCUGCCUUUACCUUCUACACAUUUACAGUAGCCAUUUAUCGAUAGUAGUGAAAAUCAAAAUUAAUUGCAUUCCGGAAGAAACAUUGCCCCUACAGAAUAAUCAGCGUGCAAAAGUGCAUGAGGUUAAUCCGCAGCCAGGAGUUUCCCUCUACUUUCACAUAAUACACAAAACGCUUCUAUCAGGUAUUUACUCUGCCUUAUAUUUGAUUUGCUGCCCGCAUUGUCCACUUUACCUUUUAGUCUCCCUUUGAACUGCCGGCAUGCUUAGGACAGUGUUAUUGUACUUUUUAUGGGCAUGGCUGCCACUUAUUAUUCAGGUAUAAUGAACCAGACAUGUACUGGCACAUUUUUUCAAUUUAUUACAGUAUUAAACUGCUGGCGCUACUACCAGAAUGUUAUCUUUCAAGAGCACAUCCUCCACAUGUUGGCUUGGACAAAGGCUUCGGUUUCUCCAAGCACUUCUUUGCCAAGUACAAGCCCGGUUACAAGGUUGGCCGCAGCCAAUUGGGCUGCACCUGCUCCGUCAAGGCAAAGAAGGCGAGCACAAGGGUCAGGAUGACCAUCAAGGUCAUCCCCAAGGCAAACGUCUGAUGUCAUUUGUCUCUGAUUAUUGCACACACUUUUUUUCUGGCCUGCAUCAGUUUUACUGAUCACGAUUUUUGUGUCAUAUAUACCAUGUAGUUUAGAUCAGUUUUUUUUGGUGCACUUGCCAAGUGAUUGAUGAUAGGUUUGGGAGGAUUUGUUUUUUGGAUGAAUAUUGCCCCUUAAAUCUUUGCAAGAUUUAGAGGUGUAUCAAUUCAACCUCGAACGGAUCCCGUGGAUCAUAUCCACCAGUGAGGUGCUCCUCCUUGACUUCAUAAGGGACAGCUGUCCAGGUACAGCAGCUGCCGCAUCGUUUCGUAGAUUGGUGUGGACACGGUGGUCAUGGUCGUCGUUCCGCUGUGACUAGGCUUUGUGCACACGGCUAGACACAUACAACGUGGAGCAAAAGGUUCGUGAUUGUUGGGGUUGGGACUCCAGGACUGAAAUCAAUUCUCAGCUUGGUUUGAUUUAGGACGGCUUGAUCUCUUAUGCAGGCAUGGUCUGUUCAGUCCUCAUUCAGAUUAGGUUUGCUUCAAAAAUAUUAUUUUGUUCAUGUAUCAUGUGGUACUGUUAGCUACACCAAUUAGUUCUGAUUUGGUACAACCGAAUUUUCAAUUGUUGAUCAUUGAUAUUUGCUAUAGGUUGUUGUAGAAAUAGGGCAUGGACACAGGUGCGGUUCUCUCCAUCUGAUCUCUUAUAUCCUGUUGGUAGUAGAGUUAGGAUGUUGUCAGAUCAAGCCAAAAGAUCUUAAAAGAUGUUUGUCAAGAUCCCAACAGUUAUUUGGGAACAUUGAAGAUGUAAUAGCAGGUCUGCAUGUGGAUUUUGGUCAAAUACUUUUAUAAUAAAAUUAAAGGAACACACUUAACUGAUUAAAUUAAAAAUCUAAUACAAUGAAUUUUCACCGUUGAUGAUACAAUUUUUAUGGAUGUGACCUCCACAGUAAGCGUUCUAGGAUGGAACAAACAUGAAAGUUUAAAUAGUCAGUUUUCUUCUGUUCCGGUGGCAUGCUAUUUCUUUAGUCUUAUUAAAUCUCAGAAUGAGGAAUGUCCUGUUGAGUUAGAGAAAGCGACCACAAGUUGUGGAAAUGAAAAUUUAGUCAAUAAAUUAGAGACAAAACAAGGAAAUAAGGUAUUGCAAAAUUAUCUUGGAGAAGUUGAUGGCUUCAUGCAAGGUCUAAAACAAAUAAUAUGCAGACUGUUGUAUAGUAAGUUACUCAAAAUAUCAAAAAGAGAUGAUGGGAGUACUAAACCAUGGGUGAUGAGAGUGUUGAAAGAGGUUACUGCCAACAAUUAUUUCGGUAUCUCGAAGAGAAGACUAAACCAGAGAUACAUGUAAGAAGUGUUUCCUUUGUGUUUUGCUAUAAAUGUAUACUUGAUUCUCUUUUGGAAGCUACAAUAUGUUUACCGGUUGCAGCCUGCAGGAUUCCUUGAACAUUGUACACGAACUGAAUAAGAUCGGGAGAACAAGCCCUAUGUAUAUGGUACUGUAUUAUAUAUUGAUCAAAGUAAACCAAGUACGCUGCACCAUUUAUUCAGUUAUUUUGUACAUUUGAGAUUCAAUUUUGGUGUAAUUCAGAGUACAUGCCAUGAUACAUUUGUGUAGUUGUUUCAGCUGCGAAGUGGGAUUUAUCUGGAUGAGGAGAUGCAUGGCCUGGUAUGUACGCCUUUAUGAGCAAAUGAAACUAGGGAAUGCCAUGUUCUUUGGAGGGCUUUCAGAAUGCAGUCCGCCCAUUUCUGAUUCCCUUCUUCCAUUGUCUUGAAGUGUGUUUCUUUCUAGGUAUUAUUGGUUGGCAAACUUAUUCAUAGGUCCAGGAGAACAUAAUGUCAGUCAAUGGUUGUAUCUUUUUUGCUUAUCACGCAACAAUUUACAGUCAUUUCCCCUUUUAUUUGGAAUCCCUAUUUUGCAUUGAAGCAACCAGACAUAUUAUACUUAUCUUUCACCUUC
Lolium rigidum is the source of this 2881-nucleotide long non-coding RNA. RefSeq lists it as uncharacterized. The record is from RefSeq and is a predicted model, not a curated record. The transcript has 2 exons. Lineage: Eukaryota; Viridiplantae; Streptophyta; Magnoliopsida; Poales; Poaceae.